This is a long non-coding RNA of Rosa rugosa (rugosa rose), 1310 nucleotides long. RefSeq lists it as uncharacterized. Lineage: Eukaryota; Viridiplantae; Streptophyta; Magnoliopsida; Rosales; Rosaceae. The record is from RefSeq and is a predicted model, not a curated record. The transcript is spliced from 3 exons.
AACACGAGAGAGAGAGAGAGAGAGAGAGAGCUAGGAGCUCUGACCCGAGAAGGAGACCCGGCCGCCGCGCCACCGAUCGCUGACGGACGACCACCAUCUGCUUCAUCUCCGCGUCGCCUACCUCCCUACAUCCUCAGAUCGCCCAUGCACCGGACGAGGAGGGAGACUCGACAGUGAGAAGCAGCGACUGCGCCGGCGAGUUUCUGCAAUUUCCGGCCACCGCUUGGGCCGCAUUCGCCACGGCUCCGCCGUGUUCUUCGACUCCGGCGACGUUUCCGGAACUUCUGGGCUUAGCUUCUGGUUGGAAUGCGUCUGUAUACGAAGGCAGACCUUGUUUAGGUAUUGAAGUACGAGAAUUACUGGUUGAGUGGCCAUCAGGUCGAACUCCGUCACCGGUCGAGUUUCGAAAGUAGGCUGGACGGAGUUGAUCAACUCGGCGUCGACUAGGCUAUCUCCAGCAACUGUGUUCUCCACCCUGAGGUCUCACCUGCAUGUCGACUACUGAAGGACUCCAGUUACCCGAGGAACGGAAGGUUUGUGAAUUCCGGAUAACGUAAAAGGUUAAAGCAUCGGAAUCCAGGUAGGGGACUCGGGACUCAUUCGGUUAGUUGUUUUCCGUUUUGAAUUAAAUGUUUAUGCAUAUUUGAGUUGCAUGGUUUGGUUAUUGAUGGCUUGAGAGUGAGUGGAACAUAGCGAUUCCUUGGGCUUCGAUCCCCUAAACCUCCGGAGGGGCCGUAUGGACGAAAUGGUGUCUGACAUCCAUUGAGGUGUGGCACUAUUUCUAGGUGAUAUGGCGUAAGUGGACACUCUCACUACGCUUACCUGGUGAUGAUUUUAUUUGAGGUAAGGCCGUAUAGUUGGUCCAUGGGACUGGCCAUCAGGUAUUAUGCAUUUCUUUGAGUUUCGUGCAUUGGAUUUUGAGUCCGAAAGAUAUUUAAAGUUUGUCGUUAAUUAAAGAAAUGGUUUAACUUUUUCAUAUUGGGAUCCCAAAUUAUUAUCUUAUGUGUCGGUUUUCAAACCUAGUCGGGUGAAGCCCCUACUGAGUAGCGAGGACGAAAGCUCACCCCUACAACAGUGUGGUUGCAGGUACUGUGCACUGGGAACGGGAUUGGAGCGGACGGAGCUGGGUGUGCAUAUUUCAAUAGAAGUCAGGUUCUAAGUUCCAAUCUUAUUCCUGUUCCUUAAAAUUGUAUUUUCGGAACUUGUCACAAUUUGUUUGUUUUAUGCUAAGUCCUUUAUUCCUCGGUUGUUUGCAACGUUAAGUCCUGGACGAACAUUUGAAUUUAAAAGUUUUAAAGUUUUCACCUCAA